Paramuricea clavata is the source of this 1367-nucleotide non-coding RNA. NCBI's taxonomy places the organism in Eukaryota, Metazoa, Cnidaria, Anthozoa, Malacalcyonacea, Plexauridae. The record is from the annotation of a GenBank genome assembly.
CUCCUUGCAUGACAAGCUUAUGAGGUUUUGCAAGCUUAAAUAUUUCCACUAAUUUGCUAAGUUCAAUAUUGUUGGCUAGAUCUCGUUCGUUGCUAAUCUGGACAAGGUCCUCGAGUCUAUCAGGUGACAUAGCAACUCGCAAAUUAUUGUUUAUUAUUUUGACCUUGCUGUGUGUGCGUUCACGUGAUGCCACUGUCACAGGCAAGGUAGCGACCUCAAACAAGUCGGGAUGAAGGUGGUGUAGAUCAUCUUUGCUGAAAACUUCGAGCAAGGAGGGCAAGCAAAUCCAAGGUGGAAACUUUCUUUUGGACCCUUUCUCUAGACUCUUUCCUUUCCAUCUCUUCGCUGCUAUGAUGCUCGUAUGUAAUCUUGCAGUUGUUACAUUGAAUAUUCCAGUCAUAUAUAUGUACUCUUCGUACCAUUUCUUUUGGAAUGUAAACUUUCUCAUCGAUAUUUCCGAUGUUGAAAAAUCUAAGAUAGGUCUAACCGUCAGAGUCUAACCGUCAAGAUUCGAAAACGAAGGUUCUAUUUGCCUCCCUCACACACAAUUUCACUUGAUGGAUCUCUUCCUUCGAACAUUUUUCUCUUUCAGUUGUGUAGUGAUGCAUUCCAAGAAGCUAAUGACCAUAUGUUGCGCGAACAGUGCAUUAAUUAACAUAUUUCCCUCACAUCUCAGCAACAGGACCAAACUUCCGCAUCACACAUUACCUAUUGCACUUAAUUUGGGUAAUAUGUUAACCCAUUAUGAUGGGUUUCCUUCGGCGGUCGUAAUCAGUGCCUGCAAUAUGCUAAUGGUAAAUGCCGCAUAUAUGAAAUGGUCUUUUGUCAAAAGUAAAGCGAAGAUCUUUUAAUACCGGUUUUUAUUCACACAAUAAAGACUGAAUUUAUUAAGUUAUAUCUAAAUAACUGGACUGAUGUCACAAACGUACCCCCCCCCCCCAAAAAAAAUUUCUCACCGGAUUUGGACAAAUUAGAAAAUCGACCUUGAAGAGAACUGGGGAGGACGUGUCCUCCCCAGUCCUCCCCGUGGCGCCGCCACUGCAUAGAAGGACCAAAGCCAAAGGUCAAAUUAUUUUUAGGAAAUUACAGGGGGUUUUUUGUUUCAAAAAUAAUAACUCUCGAAGGUUUCACUUUCGCUAUAAUUUGUACUAACAGACGCGUGUAAAAACCAACAUAGAGAGUGUUUUAUUAGGUUUAAAGACGUUUAGACGAAAUUUAGUUUAGACCUAAUAAAACACGUCCUGCGAGUUUAUUAAACAGCUUCAAACACGAUUACAAAUUCAAGAAUACUAAUGAGGACAUGACUUGCAAUAGAUACUGCCUUACUAAUAUUCUUUAUAUAAGGAAUACUAAUUAGGAGUGGUUUA